UCUGUACUCUGUACUCUGUACCCCUGACUAGAGCUUGCUCUAGAUGGGUUAACUCAUACCUGUUAAGCCUGGUUUUUCACAUACUCUGUACAACAGUUAUAUCAACAAACCAUGUAUACAAAGAUUUACAACACAAACAUAGCUAAGUCAAGCACAACUGUAACUGUAUACACACCUAGUACAUCUCUUUAGUAUUACAUGUCCAUUCUAAGCUAUUACAACUCUCGUUAUUCUUUCUGUACUCUGCUGAUCUCCCCUGUACACUGUACACUGAACCUGCAAGACUGGGGUUAAGGGAGUGGGAUGAGCUCUAAAGCCCAGUGAGUAGAACAGUAAAACAUAUCAUUAAAACAUGACCUUAUGGAAUGCAUCAUAACACAGACAAUUCACAUCAAGGGUAAACCUGUCACCAAAUAGUCCCAGUAUCUCAUACCAAGGCGUAGUCAAAGGCACCUGGAUUUCCUAUCUCAUAUAUGUAUAUGUGUCUAUAACACCUGUACUUACCAUUGCCAGGGUGUAGUCAAAGGCUCCUGGACUUUACUAUACCUGCCAGGGCGUAGUCAAAGGCUCCUGGACUUCUAUACCUUCCAGGGCGUAGUCAAAGGCUCCUGGACUUAUCUCAGUGACUAUUGGAUCAUUCAGCAUUCACCCACAUCAACAAAUAACUAUGCAAUGCAACAUAUUCGUGGAUUCUAAUGCAAACAACCUACUGCAUAACCAUGAUGCAUGAAAUAUGUUAAAAACAUUCCAUUUCUCAAGUAAAAGAAUUAGGUUUAGUUCCACUCACCUCUGGCUAUCUGGAC
Molecule: long non-coding RNA, 803 nt
Filed under: Manihot esculenta (cassava)
Lineage: Eukaryota; Viridiplantae; Streptophyta; Magnoliopsida; Malpighiales; Euphorbiaceae
Description: long non-coding RNA (MESC_LNC009571)
Source: RNAcentral